GGCUGAACAGCCCUGGGGUGUGGGGAGACAAAGGGAUCCAAGUCGUGUCUUUCCUGCUUUGGGAAUCGGUGUCCCGGCUGUCUGUGGAACAUCAGAGAAGGUAUGGACUCUGAGCCACAGAAACAGGAUCCAGUAGAGAAGAACCAAGUGUGAUGUUGAAUCUGCUAGAGAGGUUCCUGGAGCAAGAGUGAAGAGAUCAGGCCCCAUCCCUGGGACAUUUCAGUUUGAUAUGAGUGAAGCAGUUUCUUAUUGAGCCCCAGGAAGAAGAAAUAGUGCAGAAGAGAAGGAAUAAUAAUGGGUCAGCUAGACAGAAGAUGAGAAUCAUCAAACAUGUGUCCCACUAGCCAGACCUAUCAACAGA
Long non-coding RNA from Balaenoptera musculus (blue whale), 361 nucleotides. RefSeq lists it as uncharacterized. The transcript is spliced from 3 exons. Lineage: Eukaryota; Metazoa; Chordata; Mammalia; Artiodactyla; Balaenopteridae. The record is from RefSeq and is a predicted model, not a curated record.